CCUGAGGCCAGAAGAAGAGCCUUUGAACCUGAUAUUCAUUUUUCUCAACUUUCUUUUGUUAUCACAGGGAACCCAGCAAACUGUGUGUUUUCCCUAAAUAUAACUGGCUUAAUGAAAUAUGAGCCUGCACUUCAAGGAACACCCGGUUGAGGACUUCCAGCUCUCUGAGAUAAACCUCUUCACUCUCCAGGAUGCCUUUCAGGACCACCAGCCUCCUCUCCAACAUUUCCUCUGUGCUGUGUAAAGUCUGAAGGACAAACAGCAGUCAACAAAUGCAAACUAACAUAAUCCAACGCAUCCUGGAAGACGUCCAUCAGAUGUCAGAUGUUUCUCUUCACAGAGCGAGCUGAGCUCUGAAGACGCAAGCUUGUGAACAGCCGACAGUAGAACAAAAAAAAAAAACUUCCUCUUUCUGUCAAUGAUGAGCAAAAGGGGAAAAUACAACUUCCUGUCUGGGUGAAACCCGUUGAAAGUUGAUGAGAACUGCCACCUGACAGUUUUUUUUUUAAUCAU
Notolabrus celidotus (New Zealand spotty) is the source of this 513-nucleotide long non-coding RNA. RefSeq lists it as uncharacterized. The record is from RefSeq and is a predicted model, not a curated record. The transcript is spliced from 3 exons. Lineage: Eukaryota; Metazoa; Chordata; Actinopteri; Labriformes; Labridae.